AAGCGUGGGGAGCGAACAGGAUUAGAUACCCUGGUAGUCCACGCCGUAAACGAUGAUUACUCGGUAUUGGCUUCGGUCAGUGCCCAAGCGAAAGUGAUAAGUAAUCCACCUGGGGAGUACGCCCGCAAGGGUGAAACUCAAAGGAAUUGACGGGGGCCCGCACAAGCGGUGGAGCAUGUGGUUUAAUUCGAUGAUACGCGAGGAACCUUACCAGGGUUUAAAUGCAGAACGACAGGGGUGGAAACACCCCCUUCUUCGGACGGACUGCAAGGUGCUGCAUGGUUGUCGUCAGCUCGUGCUGUGAAGUGUCGGGUUAAGUCCCAUAACGAGCGCAACCCCCAUUUCUAGUUGCCAGCGGUUCGGCCGGGGACUCUAGAGAAACUGCCAGCGUAAGCUGUGAGGAAGGUGGGGAUGACGUCAAAUCAUCACGGCCCUUACAUCCUGGGCCACACACGUGCUACAAUGGUGGGGACAACAGGUUGCCAACCCGCGAGGGUGAGCCAAUCCCAAAACCCCAUCUCAGUUCGGAUCGGAGUCUGCAACUCGACUCCGUGAAGUUGGAAUCGCUAGUAAUCGCGGAUCAGCCAUGCCGCGGUGAAUACGUUCCCGGGCCUUGUACACAC
RNAcentral lists this ribosomal RNA (623 nucleotides) under uncultured marine bacterium. RNAcentral describes it as "bacterial SSU rRNA". It matches the Rfam family "Bacterial small subunit ribosomal RNA", at positions 757 to 1390 of the family's 1533-position model. The record is from RNAcentral.